Molecule: long non-coding RNA, 1534 nt
Organism: Arvicola amphibius (Eurasian water vole)
Lineage: Eukaryota; Metazoa; Chordata; Mammalia; Rodentia; Cricetidae
Exons: 5
Source: RefSeq, a predicted model, not a curated record
GGCAGAGUGAGAGAAGCCAUGGAUCCUCUGCCUGAGAUGGACGCCCGUUGGAAUCUCUGCAGGCAUUGAUUGGAUGUCACCAGGCACACAACAUUUUAGGUGAACGCUGUGGAAGACAGAAAGGUGGGGCUGUCUUUAAGUGAAACUUGACGGGUAGAAGAGAUAAGGCAUAUGCAGUGAAUACAAGAGAACACAUGCAAGGGACAGGGAGAAAUAAAAUAUCAGCAAAGCAUUUCGUCUCCGGCUAGAUAAUGAAGAGGAUUCACAGAGCAGAUUGGAUGAAAUCAGCGGCAAGGAUCUAAAAGAUGCAGGCCCCUUCUCAUGUCGAGUGUGUCUUCUGCUUUCGACGUUGUAACCAGGCUGGUAAAGUUGAGCGGUCUGAAGUGCUGGUGACUCACUCAGUUCGUCUCGUCAGAACACAGCUUCGAGCGCGGCUCUGGUAAAAUGGCGGCUCCAGGGCAAUGAUGGACCCGAAGCGCUUCUUUAUCUGGACAGUGUUUGGGACAGACAGACUGCUCUCCUGACGAUGCUUUGUCAAUGACUGCAAGUGCAGAACAGAGUGUGAAAACCCAUACCCACCUGGAGCUCAUCGAAUGUGUGCACCCAGGGCUCAACUGCGGGAGGCUCCAUGACACCAAGGAAGGCACCCCGAGCUCAGCUACAGGAGGCUCCGUGAUACCGAAGUUAACACCUGUGCUGGAAAGCAAGAGGAUGCAACCUGUGAGCUGUGCAUCAGUUCUUCAGCUUUAAGGAACAAUCCUGUUUGCCAAAGUUAACCUCCAUCAACAUCACAAGCGAGGCGCGACAAGAUGGAAAGCUACUUGUAUUUUCCACAGCUAUUCUUUGAGGAUUCGAAGUCCUGUUUCAAGGAACCCGUGGAAAGGUCCAGAAAACCAAAUAUACAAAACCACACCAAUGUGUUUACUUUGUAAAUUCUCAAAGCUGAAUCAAAGAGCAGUGCAAUGGCUCAAAUGACUGAAGAGAAUGUUCUAUUCUAGUGCCUCAAGGUGAAAUUAGCACCAGAAUAGACACCAUAAAGGCAGAUUAGAAGACAGGGCCUGAGAGGUUGGCCUGGGUUCUUUGGCCAAGCAUUCUGGGGUAUAUUGUAUUUGGUUUCAAACCCUCAUUUUGGAAAAACAUCAUUUAGAAAGUGCAAUGGUUUAGACGUUGUCUCCAGGGUCCAUAUGUUUACAGCUCUGUCCCCAGGGCAGUGAUUUUGGGAGAUGGCUGGGGACCCUUUAAGAUGUGGGCCCAAUAGGAGAGAUCCUUAUGCCACUCAGAGCUGGGGACCCUUUAAGAUGUGGGCCCAAUAGGAGAGAUCAUUAUGCCACUCAGAGCUGGGUUCUCAAGAGAAAUUGUGAAGCCUCAUUCUUUUCCCGUUUGAUGACAGGAUCUCCCCCUCUCACAAGGCUCCUGCCAUCUACCAAGAAGUGAUUGGAGUGUCGUGGGUUCCCUUGUAAGAACAUUAGCCAUGCUGUUUCGACUUGCAGCCUUCCCAGCUGUGGGAUAAAUAAAUCCUUCCUUUAUAAAGUCA